UGCCGCGUGUGUGAAGAAGGCCUGCGGGUUGUAAAGCACUUUCUAUUGGGAAGAAAAGCAGACGGUUUAUACCCGUUUGCCGGGACGUUACCUUUACAGGAAGCACC
RNAcentral lists this ribosomal RNA (107 nucleotides) under uncultured Gammaproteobacteria bacterium. Its description in RNAcentral is "partial 16S ribosomal RNA". Lineage: Bacteria; Pseudomonadati; Pseudomonadota; Gammaproteobacteria. The record is from RNAcentral.